CCUACGGGGGGCUGCAGUGGGGAAUAUUGGACAAUGGGGGGAACCCUGAUCCAGCCAUGCCGCGUGUGUGAAGAAGGCCCUCGGGUUGUAAAGCACUUUCAAUGAGGAAGAACGCCUGGUGGUUAAUACCCAUCAGGAAAGACAUCACUCACAGAAGAAGCACCGGCUAACUCCGUGCCAGCAGCCGCGGUAAUACGGAGGGUGCGAGCGUUAAUCGGAAUUACUGGGCGUAAAGCGCGCGUAGGUGGCUUGAUAAGCCGGUUGUGAAAGCCCCGGGCUCAACCUGGGAACGGCAUCCGGAACUGUCAAGCUAGAGUGCAGGAGAGGAAGGUAGAAUUCCCGGUGUAGCGGUGAAAUGCGUAGAGAUCGGGAGGAAUACCAGUGGCGAAGGCGGCCUUCUGGACUGACACUGACACUGAGGUGCGAAAGCGUGGGUAGCAAACAGGAUUAGAUACCCCAGUAGUC
This 465-nucleotide ribosomal RNA is filed under the name Vreelandella stevensii. RNAcentral describes it as "partial 16S ribosomal RNA". It matches the Rfam family "Bacterial small subunit ribosomal RNA", at positions 338 to 795 of the family's 1533-position model. Lineage: Bacteria; Pseudomonadati; Pseudomonadota; Gammaproteobacteria; Oceanospirillales; Halomonadaceae. The record is from RNAcentral.